UCAAUUCUAAUAUACUAUAUAUUUUAUAUUAUAUAAUAUAAGUACAUAAACAUAGUUGCAUACAUAAGUAUUCCCACAAAACUCCAUCCAAACCAAAAGCAAUCAACAUCCAAAAGAAACUCCCAACAUACAAUAAAUACUAUAUACUAUAUAUUUAAUUAGUACUUACUUGACUAGGCCAUAAUCAAACAACAAACAUACUCGGUGAAAUCCUACUACCUCGUGUGGAAGUAGAGAUACUGUUUCCGAAAGAACUUAAAAGCCAUAAUCAUAUCCCCUUUUUCAACAAUAAGCAAGACAUUUCUUCUUGCAAUCCAUGAUACAUCCACCACCCCCACCCCCAUAUCCAUACCCUUUUCCAGCCCCACUAGAUGACUUGAAACACUUUGAUGGACACUUUAGUUUUUUACCAAAACAUGGGCCUUUGUCUUUGCAAACAAUAGUGGGCCUUAUGAUUCCACCUUUACCAUAUCCUCCUUUUGGGCCUCCAAAUCCACCACCAUAUCCUCCUCCAACUAUAGGCCCAAAACCAGGGAUGUUGAAUCCACCUACAGGCCCAAAACCAGGGAUAUUAUUGUUGUCAUCAUUUUUAGUAGUAGCAAAAGUGAAAGUGAUUGAGAUGAACAAGAAAAUUAAGAUGAGAGCUAUAGAGUUCUUCAUAUUUGACAAGAGGGAAAAGGAAGAGAAGUAAGAAAGA
RNAcentral lists this unclassified non-coding RNA (697 nucleotides) under Hevea brasiliensis (rubber tree). Lineage: Eukaryota; Viridiplantae; Streptophyta; Magnoliopsida; Malpighiales; Euphorbiaceae. The record is from RNAcentral.